AAGAAACACAAGAACUGCUAAUUCAUGUUACCAUGAAUAAAAUCAUGGCUUUCUUA
This 56-nucleotide transfer RNA is filed under the name Chiropodomys gliroides (Indomalayan pencil-tailed tree mouse). RNAcentral describes it as "tRNA-Ser". The record is from RNAcentral. Lineage: Eukaryota; Metazoa; Chordata; Mammalia; Rodentia; Muridae.